Molecule: RNA transcript, 4681 nt
Organism: Eriocheir sinensis (Chinese mitten crab)
Lineage: Eukaryota; Metazoa; Arthropoda; Malacostraca; Decapoda; Varunidae
Gene name: UDP-GlcNAc:betaGal beta-1,3-N-acetylglucosaminyltransferase-like protein 1
Exons: 10
Source: RefSeq, a predicted model, not a curated record
AGGAGUGGCUCUCCCGUCACGUUGGUCGCGGGCUCAAUCCCAGGCAGCCGGUGAAUACCCUCACCUUGUCUUGAUUAAUUUCUCGGGUGUUUUGAUACACGCAGAGGACGUGUAGGAAAAUAGAAAAGAGAAAAAGAGAAUCCCGGGGCAUGACACAAGAUGUAGGCAAUUAUAUCUUGCAUUUUUCACAGGAGCUGCCGCAGAUACAAAACCCUAGCCACUCUACAAAGCCUGUCUUGAGAGAAAUUUCAAGUCUCCUGUGACAUCAGGAUCAAGAAGAUCCAGUGUUAUGACAGGCUGCAGCGCUGAUCUUUAAGAGAACUUUUGAGGAGCGUUUCGCGAGAAAUGUCCCAGCGAGAAUUGGCAGGCGUGUCCGUCAUCAUCCCAGUCCACAAUGGUGCCACGUGGCUUGAUGACUGCCUGGCGUCUGUGCUGCGGCAGGAGUACAGUGCCAACACCCAGUGCCCAGCCCUAGAGGUGUCUGUGUUUCUGGACUCAUGCACUGAUGCGUCAGAAGCUGUAGUGGACCGGUGGAGUGCUGUCCUGAGGAAUGCUGGAUGCUGCGUUACCGUGAAGACAGAACACAAUGAUAAGCCGAGAGGAGUCGGGUACGCCAAGAACAGAGCCGUGGAGCAGAGUCAAGGGGAGUUCCUGUGUUUUCUUGAUGCUGAUGACAUAAUGCUGCCCACAAGGAUACAACAGCAGUAUGAGCUGGCCAGCAAGCACCACGACGCUAUUGUCGGGAGCCGUUUCUUCCGCCAGCCAGCGGACUCGACGGCUCGGUACACACGCUGGGCCAACACCCUGACGCCGCUGCAGCUGGAGACACAGAUAUACAUGUCGCACGGACCCACUGUCAUCAUGCCCACCUGGUUCUGUCACCGCUCUGUGUUUGACAGGGUGGGAGGGUUCAGCGAGGAGGGUGCAGGAACCCCAGAGGACCUAAUAUUUUUCUUCCAUCACUUGCGUUUGGGUGGACGAGUGUUGAGGCACGAUGACGAGCUCCUCAUUUACCGCUACCACCCACACGCCACAACCUUCUCCGUCAGUGAGGAGACCAUCUGGGACCUGAGGAUAAGAGAGAUAGAGGAACGAGUUUUGUCUUCCUGGGACGGAUUCACAAUUUGGAAUGCCGGAAAACAGGGACGACGAUUUUACAGGUCGCUGAGCAAGGAGUCACAGAGGAAAGUUAUAGCAUUCUGUGACGUUGAUGCCAAGAAAGUUGGCUCCGUUUACACUUAUGAGGAGUCUGCUGAACGCCCCAAACCAAGAGUACCCAUUGUGCACUUCACAAAGGCUCGGCCACCACUUAUCAUAUGCAUGAAAAUGGAGCUGACAGGAGGGAAAUUCGAGGAAAACUUGGCAUCUUUAUUUCUCCAGGAGGCCACAGACUACCACCUUUUUAACUGAACCACCACAGUAGGAUUAUAGGAAUAGCAAAGUAAGACCCAACUUAACAUUUUUCAUUUGAGGCAUCCAGAACCAUCAAUAUCAUCUUCAGCCAUUACCUGUCCCAAUGUUCCCAAUGUUCUUCACCUCUCUGACUGAAGAUGUGCACUCCAUCCUGCUUCUUGUAGGUCAUUAAGAGUAAACUUAUUAGAUGGUAGUUCUUUAAAUCUUCCAUGUUGCCUUUUAUUUGUGAAUUAACAAUGGCAUUCUUCCAGACUAGAUGAAAGAGUAGCUAGUUUACAUGUGUGGCAAGGACAUUGAUUGAUAUCCUGAAAAUUUUCACAUACCUUAGUAACAAUGCUCAACAAAUGUGGGUCUCAUGAAGAUGUUUUAUUGCAGAUUGGAUUGGCCUUCGGUGUUAUGGACUCGCUUGGCAUGAGUAUAUUGCGUUGUUGAUACCUGUGCAAAAGGACAAAGAUUCCGAUCGUCACCUAUGCUCCCUGUCUUAAUAACUGUAUCAAGUCAGCAAUUACUCUGCGAUGUAAAAUCGUGUCCUGCAUAGUCUAUGAGCGCCAACUCCGGCUAUACGGGCGUGUGGCACACUACCCAGAAGUCGACCCUGCUCACCAAGUUCUUUAUAAGUAACAUGCUCCUGGGUUGACACAGCAUAUGGCAGCAUGAGGUGUUGUGGAGGGGUGAGUGGGGUGCAACACCUGCUUGUUGAGCCCCAUGAGGUCCACAGUUAUCCUCACACCUCCACUGGGCUAGGCCACAGCCAUGAGGGGGUGGCACAACUGGGACAGGUUGUUGCCAAAGGACAGUGAUACAUGGCGCAGUGAGUAUGUGCACAUUAUAAGGAUCUUCCAGUGACAUUACAGAGCCAUUGCAGUGCUGGUGGUGUGCAGUGAGUUCCCCGAGUGAACCCCCAGUGUGUCGGCACCGUGACGAAGCCCAAAACCUGGAGGGAAGAACAGGAGUCGGUGUCCCCCAUGCCUGCUUACCCCCAGCCAUGCCCUCACAAACGGUACAGUGGCAGGCAGUUGGCAGUUCCUGGGAUGUACUACUCCAGAUGGUGCAACUGUUUUGUAAUGAGUGAGAACAGAGGAAGCGGGAGGAUGACUUGAGAUGCCAUGCUGUGGAAAAGCAUUUCAACUGACAUAGUGGCACUUAGAACACAGCUGUCACAGGCACAGCAGGUGGACACGCCUGAGGACAGUGGUGAUCCUGCCCUCGUGUCACUGUCCUCAUCCUGUGCGCUCUCUCAGGAAGCCACAAUGCUGUCCUUUAACUCACAAGCUAAGGAUAUGGAGGAUUUCUAGGCCACUGCUGAACACCUGAAAUGGGCCAAGAUGUUUUGGCAAUUUUUGACAAAGGUAUUAUUGAAAGAGAUACCUGUCAACCUUUGCUGAGGUUAGGUGAGACAGCAGCACCUCCUUGAUCCCUCUCCUCCCCAUCUUUCUUCCUCUCCUUAUCCUUUUCCUACUCCACCCUCCUCGUGUGUGUGUGUGUGUGUGUGUGUGUUUUUUUUAGAGAGAGAGAGGUUAAAAUGACUUCUCUGUGCGGCUGAAGCAGGCUUCAGACGAGAUUGACUUACAUAAAGCCCACAACCUGGCGUGUAUUGAGACAGAUGAAACAUGCAGUGCUGAUUAGCAUCAAAGACGAGACAACACUUGUUGGAACUUACAUCUGACGCCAUACUGGAGAAAGUCUUAACCGUGUGCAAGUUUCACAAGGCUGCCAAAACUAUAUCACAUGAACUUAGGCCACUCCAGUUUUCCACACGUGCCAUGUUGGAGUACAAGAGGAGGAAAAAGGACAGCGGGAAACAAGAUUGAGACGCACCCAGCCACUCGGGCAAGUCGACGCCGUCCAAUGCUAAAUGCAACAACUGUGGCUAUGGGUCACACCCCAAGGACAACUGCCUAGUGGUUGAUGAGCAGUGCUGCACAUGUGGCAAGGUGGGCCACUUUGCCAGGUGUUGCCAUUCAAAGCUGCCCACAAGUGUCAAGAAGGCACCAAGUGGUCGUGGCAGGCAAGGCAAUGUUGCUGUCCAUAACAGACUACCAGUGCAGUGUCGUUCCACCCUCAUGCAGCGCUGUAUACCCUGAACACAAAAGCGCGGUGGAUGCAGCUUCACUCAGUGGCCCCACAUCCCCAACCAUCAAGCCUCGGGUGCAGGCAGGUGACAAAUUGGGGUGGGUGGAGUGCAUGCAUGACACGGGAGUAGAUACAGCUGUCAUGGGCAACAAGUUCCUCAGUGCACUUGCCUGACAUCAGAUGACCCUUCCUGGAGUUGAGGCUAAACAACCUUGAUGGAUUGUUGAUGGCCGUCUCCUUAGGACAUGGAGCUAGGUGAGGAGGCUGCAUGCACAUGAGAGGCAUGGUGAUUAAUUGUGGUGCUGCCCUUGAUGUAUCACCUACAGGAGGCCUGGUGCUGGACAGGAUAUGCACUGCAGGCUGAGAGGACGCCGUGUACAUCAGACUACUAUAGGGCGUAACCCAUGGCUUCCCCACCACCUGUGACGGCCUAGACUCUACCCUGAUGCUUUACUGGAAGGAACGUGACCACUUGUUCCAUGAUGGGGAGCUUGUGCUACUUGGACCCCGUACUGUGGCUCUCUCCGCCCUCCAACGUGAUGUCUUGGCGUACCUUCAUGGCAGUCAUUAUGAUGUGGAGGCCACAAAGCACCGUGUGUGCCAGAUUAUGUGGUGGCCUGGUAUUAACUCUGACAUCAUGAAUGUAGUAAGGGCAUGCCAGGUGUUCCAACCAAGCCAGCAACAAGAACCCCUAAUGUCUGAGGAAGUCCCCUCUAUGCUGUUCGAGUGUGUCUCCAGAUUUCUUUAGUGCGGCAGGGAAGUCUUUCCUGGUGUACGCAGACAGACUUUCAGGAUGGCCUAUGGUGGUUCUGUGCUGGUCUGACACCACUGGUUCUGCUACCAUCGCCUUCUUCAGGAGAUUCUCUUGAGACUUGGGUGUCCCCAUGCAACUUCAGACUGAUAGGGCCUGCAGUUCACCAGUCGUGACGUUCAAGAUUUCCUGCAUCGCUGGGGUGUACAUCACAAGGUCUCCACGCCGCAUUAUCCUCAGAGCAACAGCCACACAGAAGCAGUGGUGUUGUCACUGUAGCAGCUGGUGAUGAAAAAAGCUCCUGGCACCACCGAGGACUUCGAUCACUGCUUGCUGGAAUUACGCAACACACAGCGACUGGACGGCCGUUCCCCAGCUCAGGUAUUAUUCACACUGCCACCAGCUAACACUUGUACAGUCACCCCCAGUAAAGCACAAAGGACU